UAAUGCUUGGGAAUCUAGCUUAUGGAGGGGGAUAACUACGGGAAACUGUAGCUAAUACCGCGUAGAAUCGAGAGAUGAAAGUGUGGGACCUUCGGGCCACAUGCCAUAGGAUGAGCCCAAGUGGGAUUAGAUAGUUGGUGAGGUAAAGGCUCACCAAGCCGACGAUCUCUAGCUGGUCUGAGAGGAUGACCAGCCACACUGGGACUGAGACACGGCCCAG
This 220-nucleotide ribosomal RNA is filed under the name uncultured bacterium. RNAcentral's name for it is "partial 16S ribosomal RNA". It matches the Rfam family "Bacterial small subunit ribosomal RNA", at positions 111 to 334 of the family's 1533-position model. The record is from RNAcentral.